GACCGCGUAGCUCAGUUGGCAGAGCAUUGGGCUAGUAUUCCAAAGAUUGUAGGUUCGAUUCCCACCGUGGCCA
Molecule: non-coding RNA, 73 nt
Organism: Paramuricea clavata
Lineage: Eukaryota; Metazoa; Cnidaria; Anthozoa; Malacalcyonacea; Plexauridae
Source: the annotation of a GenBank genome assembly